RNAcentral lists this ribosomal RNA (253 nucleotides) under uncultured bacterium. RNAcentral describes it as "partial 16S ribosomal RNA". It matches the Rfam family "Bacterial small subunit ribosomal RNA", at positions 524 to 776 of the family's 1533-position model. The record is from RNAcentral.
UACGAAGGGGGCUAGCGUUGCUCGGAUUUAUUGGGUUUAAAGGGUCCGUAGGCGGAUCUGUAAGUCAGUGGUGAAAUCUCACAGCUUAACUGUGAAACUGCCAUUGAUACUGCAGGUCUUGAGUGUUAUUGAAGUAGCUGGAAUAAGUAGUGUAGCGGUGAAAUGCAUAGAUAUUACUUAGAACACCAAUUGCGAAGGCAGGUUACUAAGCAACAACUGACGCUGAUGGACGAAAGCGUGGGGAGCGAACAGG